AAGGAUCAUUGCACACACAAAGUUGCAGCAAACCCCCUUGCGAAUUUCGUGAUUGUCCCCCCUUUGUUGUUGGAACUUGGGGGGCUGGGACAGUUGUUUCUCCUUGCCACUAAUUGAUCGUUAGUUGGCAGGGUGGUUGGACGCGUCUCGGCCUCCCAAGUCCCUCGCUCCUUUUCGGGGGCGCGCGGGAUACACACUUGGUGUGUAUCCAACAACGACCAACUGUUGCACAAUGCAUCUCCAAAAAUGACUGAGUAUAAAAACCGGGACGACCCUCGAAAAGAGCGAAGUCCUCGAGUUGUAAUAAACAAAAACAACUCUCAGCAACGGAUAUCUUGGCUCUU
Molecule: unclassified non-coding RNA, 344 nt
Filed under: uncultured fungus
Lineage: Eukaryota; Fungi
Description: partial contains 18S rRNA, ITS1, 5.8S rRNA, ITS2 and 28S rRNA
Source: RNAcentral